GACGAACGCUGGCGGCAUGCUUAACACAUGCAAGUCGUACGGUACGGCCCUUUCGGGGGUCCAAGAGUGGCGAACGGGUGAGUAACACGUGCGUAACCUGGGCACAACUUUGGGAUAAGGGUAGGAAACUGGGGUAAUUACUGGGUAUGUGAGAUUGAUGCCUGGUGGGGGUUGGAGCGCUCCGGCGGUUGUGUAUGGAGUCGGGGGCUUACCGCUUGUUGGUGGCGUAGUGGCCUACCAAGGCUGCGACGCGAAGCCGGCCUGAGGGGGUGACCGGCCACAUUGGGACUGGGAUACGGCCCAGACUCCGACGGGAGGCAGCAGUGGGGAAUAUUGCACAAGGGGCGCAAGCCUGAGGCAGCAACGCCGCGGGCAGGAUGACGGCCUUCGGGUUGUAAACCGCUUGCAGCAUUGACGAAGCUUUUUGUGACGGUACCGGCAGAAGAAGCACCGGCUAACUACGUG
This 465-nucleotide ribosomal RNA is filed under the name uncultured bacterium. RNAcentral describes it as "partial 16S ribosomal RNA". It matches the Rfam family "Bacterial small subunit ribosomal RNA", at positions 28 to 507 of the family's 1533-position model. The record is from RNAcentral.